UAAGGAAUAUUGGUCAAUGGAGGAAACUCUGAACCAGCCAUGCCGCGUGCAGGAAGAAUGCCCUCUGGGUUGUAAACUGCUUUUAUCUGUGAAUAAACCUUUCUACGUGUAGGAAGCUGAAUGUAGCAGAGGAAUAAGGAUCGGCUAACUCCGUGCCAGCAGCCGCGGUAAUACGGAGGAUCCAAGCGUUAUCCGGAUUUAUUGGGUUUAAAGGGUGCGUAGGCGGCCUAUUAAGUCAGGGGUGAAAGACGGUGGCUCAACCAUCGCAGUGCCCUUGAAACUGAUGGGCUUGAAUGUACUUGAGGUAGGCGGAAUGUGACAAGUAGCGGUGAAAUGCAUAGAUAUGUCACAGAACACCGAUUGCGAAGGCAGCUUACUAAGGUAUGAUUGACGCUGAGGCACGAAAGCGUGGGGAUCAAACAGG
This 424-nucleotide ribosomal RNA is filed under the name uncultured bacterium. RNAcentral's name for it is "bacterial SSU rRNA". It matches the Rfam family "Bacterial small subunit ribosomal RNA", at positions 355 to 776 of the family's 1533-position model. The record is from RNAcentral.